GGUAGAGAGGUGCUUGCACCUCUUGAGAGCGGCGGACGGGUGAGUAAUGCCUAGGAAUCUGCCUGGUAGUGGGGGAUAACGUUCGGAAACGGACGCUAAUACCGCAUACGUCCUACGGGAGAAAGCAGGGGACCUUCGGGCCUUGCGCUAUCAGAUGAGCCUAGGUCGGAUUAGCUAGUUGGUGAGGUAAUGGCUCACCAAGGCGACGAUCCGUAACUGGUCUGAGAGGAUGAUCAGUCACACUGGAACUGAGACACGGUCCAGACUCCUACGGGAGGCAGCAGUGGGGAAUAUUGGACAAUGGGCGAAAGCCUGAUCCAGCCAUGCCGCGUGUGUGAAGAAGGUCUUCGGAUUGUAAAGCACUUUAAGUUGGGAGGAAGGGCCAUUACCUAAUACGUGAUGGUUUUGACGUUACCGACAGAAUAAGCACCGGCUAACUCUGUGCCAGCAGCCGCGGUAAUACAGAGGGUGCAAGCGUUAAUCGGAAUUACUGGGCGUAAAGCGCGCGUAGGUGGUUCGUUAAGUUGGAUGUGAAAUCCCCGGGCUCUACCUGGGAACUGCAUUCAAAACUGUCGAGCUAGAGUAUGGUAGAGGGUGGUGGAAUUUCCUGUGUAGGGGUGCAAUGCGUAGAUAUAAGAAGGAACACCAGUGGCGAAAGCGACCACCUGGACUGAUACUGACCCUGACGUGCGAAAGCGUGGGGAGCAAACAGGAUUAGAGAGCCUGGUAGUCCACGCGGUACUCGAUGUCAACUAGCCGUUGGGAGCCUUGAGCUCGUAUUGUCGCAGCUCACGCAUUAAUUUGACCGUCUGGGGAGUACGGACGCACCCUUAAAGCUCACAUGAAUUGAUUUUCGCCCGCACAAAAGAGGACCAUGGCGUUUAUUCCAAACAACGCAAAAAACAUUACCACGCCCUGACAUCUAAGAACUCUCGGAGAGGAUAGAUGGCGUCUGGUACAUUGAGACAGUGAAGCAUGGCUGUCGUCAGCUCGUGUCGUGCGACGUCCGCUAGUCCUGUAUUAUCCAACCAUAGUCCUACCUACCAGCACGGUGAGGUGGGCAGUCUACGUACUGUCAGUGACAAACUGAGCACGUGGGAUGAAGAAAGGGAGUCAUGACUUUCUCCUGGGCUACUCGUGCUACAUGUAC
Molecule: ribosomal RNA, 1150 nt
Filed under: Pseudomonas sp. PGO1
Lineage: Bacteria; Pseudomonadati; Pseudomonadota; Gammaproteobacteria; Pseudomonadales; Pseudomonadaceae
Description: bacterial SSU rRNA
Rfam family: Bacterial small subunit ribosomal RNA
Source: RNAcentral